This 594-nucleotide ribosomal RNA is filed under the name Microdon sp. SUR15. RNAcentral describes it as "eukaryotic LSU rRNA". The record is from RNAcentral. Lineage: Eukaryota; Metazoa; Arthropoda; Insecta; Diptera; Syrphidae.
AGUACGUGAAACUGCUUAGAGGUUAAGCCUGAUGAACCUGAAUAUCCAUUAAUGGAAAAUUCAUCACUAAUUAUAUAAUAUAAAUAUUAAUAUUAUAAAAAUGGUGUGCAUUUUUUCCAUAAAGGACAUUGUAAUUGGUUAAUAAAUUAAAAGUUUAUCAUAAAAUUCAUUAUAAUAGAUUAUUCUAAUUAGAUUUCUUUUAAUUUAAUAUUGAAUAAAUUUUAUGAAUUUGAUAAACUGUUGACCAAUUUAUAUAUAAUAAUGUUCAAAAAAAUUUCUUUGAAAUUUUUAUAAUAAUUAUUUAUAUAUUCUUUGAAUAUAUAUUUAUUUAUUAUAUACAUUUUUAUGAUUUACAAUGCUAUAAAUUCAGGAUACCUUCGGGACCCGUCUUGAAACACGGACCAAGGAGUCUAACAUAUGUGCAAGUCGUUGAGUAAUUUAAAUAAAACUCAAAGGCAUAAUUAACUUAACUGAUAUAUUUUAUUUAUAUGGGAUUAAUUUAUAUAAUAUUUUUAUAUAUUUUAUAAAUUCAAUCCCAGGGCGUUCUAUAUAGUUAUGCAUAAUAAUAUUUUAUAUUAUUUAUGUCUCUAACUG